UUGAGUGUGAUUGGCUCCGGCAGACAGGCAGAAGACGACCUGUUCACCGGGGCCAGAGUGUCUCCGAAAGGGCGUCUGUCCCUGACGGGCUGCAGGACAGAGGGCAGGGCCGAGAGACGAGAGGCACGGGAAGAAGAAGAAAGAGCGGAGGGGACAGCGGGGCGGCCCACAGCCGGCACGCUCCUCGGCUCUGACGGAGCUCCGCUUGUGCCUCGGCAAACAGACAGAUCGGCGUGAACCAAGCUGGUUACGUAAACCCACCACUGCUCCGCUGGGUCUGCAGCGCUCUGCUCAGGGAGGCACAGGGUGGCCUUGCCACCAGGUUACGCAACAGGUGCGCAUGUGCUGGCAGGUUGUUGCUCACUCUCGGAGCGCCGUACGGACACUGAAUAUUUUCAUUUUUAUGCGCACACACACACACACACACACACA
Molecule: non-coding RNA, 432 nt
Organism: Gasterosteus aculeatus aculeatus (three-spined stickleback)
Lineage: Eukaryota; Metazoa; Chordata; Actinopteri; Perciformes; Gasterosteidae
Source: RefSeq, a predicted model, not a curated record